GUAGUCAUAUGCUUGUCUCAAAGAUUAAGCCAUGCAUGUCUAAGUAUAAGCGACUAUACGGUGAAACUGCGAAUGGCUCAUUAAAUCAGUUAUCGUUUAUUUGAUAGUACCUUACUACAUGGAUAACCGUGGUAAUUCUAGAGCUAAUACAUGCUAAAAACCUCGACUUCGGAAGGGGUGUAUUUAUUAGAUAAAAAACCAAUGCCCUUCGGGGCUCCUUGGUGAAUCAUAAUAACUUAACGAAUCGCAUGGCCUUGCGCCGGCGAUGGUUCAUUCAAAUUUCUGCCCUAUCAACUUUCGAUGGUAGGAUAGUGGCCUACCAUGGUAUCAACGGGUAACGGGGAAU
Molecule: ribosomal RNA, 346 nt
Filed under: uncultured fungus
Lineage: Eukaryota; Fungi
Description: SSU rRNA
Rfam family: Eukaryotic small subunit ribosomal RNA
Source: RNAcentral